This 267-nucleotide unclassified non-coding RNA is filed under the name plant metagenome. RNAcentral describes it as "partial contains small subunit ribosomal RNA, internal transcribed spacer 1, and 5.8S ribosomal RNA". The record is from RNAcentral.
UUUCCGUAGGUGAACCUGCGGAAGGAUCAUUAUCGUACAAAAUGUGAGGGGCAUGCGAGGGCUGUCGCUGACCCAAAAGUCAUGCACGCCCGAGUGUGUCCUCUUGCAUAAUAAUCCAUCUCACCCUUUGUGCAUCACCGCGUGGGCACCCUUCGGGAUCAUCUCGGAGGGGGGCUCGCGUUUUCACACAAACCCCCCUUUUAAAAGUGUAGAAUGACCACAUUUAUGCAAUCAAUACAACUUUCAACAACGGAUCUCUUGGCUCUC